GCCAAGCCGUAAAAACUUUACCUACACCAACUACCGCCAGGGAACUACGAGCUUCAGCUUAAAACCCAAAGGACUUGACGGUGUCCCACCCAGCUAGAGGAGCCUGUUCUAUAAUCGAUAAUCCACGAUAUACCCAACCCCUUCUUGCUAUUCAGCCUGUAUACCUCCGUCGUAAGCCUACCCUAUGAAUGUAUAAAAGUAGGCUUAAGGGUGUUACACCACAACGUCAGGUCAAGGUGCAGCUUAUGAAGUGGAAGCAAUGGGCUACAAUUUCUAAUUUAGAACAAACGAAAUACUAUAUGAAAUAUAGUUAUGAAGGAGGAUUUAGUAGUAAGCAGGGAAUAGAGAGCCCUACUAAACAUGGCCCUGGGACGCGUACACACCGCCCGU
RNAcentral lists this ribosomal RNA (390 nucleotides) under Feihyla palpebralis (Vietnam bubble-nest frog). Its description in RNAcentral is "partial 12S ribosomal RNA". It matches the Rfam family "Bacterial small subunit ribosomal RNA", at positions 794 to 1397 of the family's 1533-position model. Lineage: Eukaryota; Metazoa; Chordata; Amphibia; Anura; Rhacophoridae. The record is from RNAcentral.